RNAcentral lists this ribosomal RNA (253 nucleotides) under uncultured bacterium. RNAcentral describes it as "partial 16S ribosomal RNA". It matches the Rfam family "Bacterial small subunit ribosomal RNA", at positions 524 to 776 of the family's 1533-position model. The record is from RNAcentral.
UACAGAGGUCUCAAGCGUUGUUCGGAUUCAUUGGGCGUAAAGGGUGCGUAGGUGGCGGGGUAAGUCAGGUGUGAAAUCUCGGAGCUCAACUCCGAAACUGCACUUGAUACUGCCUUGCUCGAGUACUGGAGAGGAGAUUGGAAUUUACGGUGUAGCAGUGAAAUGCGUAGAUAUCGUAAGGAAGACCAGAGGCGAAGGCGAAUCUCUGGACAGUUACUGACACUGAGGCACGAAGGCCAGGGGAGCAAACAGG